AGGUUGGCUCAGAAGCAGCCAUCCUUUAAAGAGUGCGUAACAGCUCACUAGUCGAGUGACCCUGCGCCGAAAAUGUACCGGGGCUAAGCCUGAUACCGAAACUGCGGAUUGUAGGAAACUAUAGUGGUAGGGGAGCGUUGUAUACGAGCAGAAGCCGUACCGUGAGGAGCGGUGGAUUGUAUAGAAGUGAGAAUGCCGGUGUGAGUAGCGAGAUGUAGGUGAGAAUCCUACACACCGAAAGCCCAAGGAUUCCAGGGGAAGGUUCGUCCGCCCUGGGUAAGUCGGGACCUAACGCGAGGCCGAAAGGCGUAGUGGAUGGAAAGCAGGCGAAAGAUUCCUGCACCCGUAUAUGGAGCGAAGGAGUGACGGAGACGGAUAGUGUGACCCUCUUAAUGGAUUGAGGGCGAAGCGAAGCGGCUGGUUACCAGGCAAAUCCGGUAACCAAAAGGCUAGAGCGUGACAGGUAAGCGAAAUCUUCGGAAAGUAGCGAAGCACAUGAUGACGGCUUCCAGGAAAAGCUUCUGGCAAUGCAUAUGCGGCCCGUACCAAAACCGACACAGGUGGGCAGGGAGAGAAUCCCGAGGUGAGCGAGAGAACUGUUGCCAAGGAACUCGGCAAAAUGACUCCGUAAGUUAGCGAGAAGGAGUGCUUAAGCAAUUAAGCCGCAGUGAAGAGGCCCAAGCGACUGUUUAACUAAAACACAGCUCUCUGCGAAGUCGCAAGACGAAGUAUAGGGGGUGACACCUGCCCGGUGCUGGAAGGUUAAGAGGAUCUGUUAAGAGCGAUCUGAAGCAGUGAUCCGAAGCCCCAGUGAACGGCGGCCGUAACUAUAACGGUCCUAAGGUAGCGAAAUUCCUUGUCAGGUAAGUUCUGACCCGCACGAAAGGUGUAACGAUUUGGGCGCUGUCUCGGCAGCAGACUCGGUGAAAUCUUAGUACCUGUGAAAAUGCAGGUUACCCGCAACUAGACGGAAAGACCCCAUGGAGCUUUACUGCAGCCUGAUAUUGAAUUCUGGUCAUACAUGUACAGGAUAGGUGGGAGACAAAGAGACGUGCACGCCAGUGUACGAGGAGUCGCCGUUGGGAUACCACUCUUGUGUGACCGGGGUUCUAACCUGGUAUCGAGAACAGGUACGGGGAGAGUGUCAGGUGGGCAGUUUGACUGGGGCGGUCGCCUCCCAAAGAGUAACGGAGGCGCCCAAAGGUACGCUCAGAUUGGAUGGAAACCAAUCGUCGAGUGCAAUUGCAGAAGCGUGCUUGACUGUGAGACAGACAAGUCGAACAGGGACGAAAGUCGGGAAUAGUGAUCCGGCGGUGCCGAAUGGAAGGGCCGUCGCUCAACGGAUAAAAGCUACCCUGGGGAUAACAGGCUGAUCUCGCCCAAGAGUUCACAUCGACGGCGAGGUUUGGCACCUCGAUGUCGGCUCAUCGCAUCCUGGAGCUGGAUUCGGUUCCAAGGGUUGGGCUGUCCGCCCAUUAAAGCGGUACGCGAGCUGGGUUCAGAACGUCGUGAGACAGUUCGGUCCCUAUCUGUUGUGGGCGAAGGAGAUCUGCGGAGAGCUGUCCUCAGUACGAGAGGACCGGGAUGGACCUACCGCUGGUGCACCGGUUGUUCCGCCAGGGGCAUAGCCGGGUAGCUAAGUAGGGAAAGGAUAAGCGCUGAAAGCAUCUAAGCACGAAGCCUACUCCAAGAUGAGAUCUCCCAUUCGCAAGAAGUAAGACCCCUUAAAGACGAUAAGGUAGAUAGGCCAGGGAUGGAAGUGCAGUGAUGUACGGAGUUGACUGGUACUAAUCGGUCGAGGACUUAAUCAG
Molecule: ribosomal RNA, 1811 nt
Filed under: human gut metagenome
Description: bacterial LSU rRNA
Rfam family: Bacterial large subunit ribosomal RNA
Source: RNAcentral